RNAcentral lists this long non-coding RNA (4958 nucleotides) under Sus scrofa (pig). RNAcentral's name for it is "lncRNA (ENSSSCG00000062070.1)". The record is from RNAcentral. Lineage: Eukaryota; Metazoa; Chordata; Mammalia; Artiodactyla; Suidae.
UGAAUUUAUUACAUUUAUAGUUGUACCAUGAUGAUCACAACCACAUUUUACAGCAUUUCCGUCAGACACCCCCAGUGCGUCCCCCCACCCCCCAACCUGUCUCCUUUGGAAACCAUAAGUUUUUCAAAGUCUGUGAGUCCGUAUCUGUUCUGCAAAGAAGUUCACUGGGUCCUUUUUUCAGAUUCUGCAUGUCAGUGAAAGCGUUUGAUGUUGGUGUCUCACUGUCUGAGUUCACUUAGCAUGAUAAUUUCCAGGUCCAUCCAUGUGGCUACCAAUGCUGUUAUUUCUUUCCUUUUCAUGGCUGAGUAAUAUUCCAUUGUGUAUAUGGACCACAUCUUCUGGAUCCACUCCUCUGUCAAUGGACAUUUAGGUUGUUUCCCUGUCUUGGCUAUUGCAAAUAGUGCUUCAGUGGACAUUGGAGUACAUGUGUCUUUUUUGAGUCAUGGUUUUCUCUGGAGAGAUGCCCAGGAGUGGGACUGCUGGAUCAAAUGGGAGUUCUAGUUUUAGUUUUCUGAGGAAUCUCCAUCCUGUUUUCCACAGUUGUUGCACCAAUUUACAAUCCACCAACAGUGUAAUCGGGUUCCUUUUUUUCCAUACAUUCUUUUUUUUUCAUGUUCUCUUCCAUCAUUUUGUACCCGAAGAGACCUUAACCCGCUGAGCCACAGUGGGAACUCUGUGAUUAUUUUAAAAGGACGGCAAGCAGGUGAAGGCCCUAGAUAGGGCUGUGGGUGCUGUGGGAUCUCAGACCAGGGCUGAGGGGUUCUGGCUGGAGAUGGACUUUCCCUCAAACCCAUCACCCUCCCUAUUGUCACCAGAUCUGGUGGGCUUCCCUCUGUCCCCCCCAAAUGUGGGGAACAAGUCUCUUCCCUGGGUGUCUGGGAGGAGAGAAGGUCUUUGUUCCGCUAAGGUCUAGGAAGAGUAGAGAAUUGGCUGGAGGUCACAGAAAGCCACCUGGGUCAGUGUGGUUGGCAGGGGGCCGCCCCAUCCAUGCAGGUGAAACCCAGCAGGGCCCUGUGGGCUCCUGGGCACAUGUGUCCCCCAUGUCUGGUUUCUAGGGAAUACGCUUCACCCUCCAGGUUCUUCCCUGAGCCCCAAAGGGCAGGUGCCCACAGGUGCUGAUCAGGGAAGGGAGGGGAUGCAGAGACCCCGAGGGGCUGUCAGGAGACCACCGUGCCGCCUGGGGGCAGGUCCUGGUCCCCCCUCAAGGGAUACACACAGAACAAUCUUUGAGGUCUUCUGCAGAAUUAAACCCCCAACAGAUGGAAGCCAGAGGGGAGGACCCCCAGGACCUGGCCCGGGGCCACUAAACACCAGCUCUGGAGAAGAAUACAAGCUUGCACCCACCCUCAUCCUUAUCUGAGGCCUUAUUUUCCAUGCCCCAAAUUAUAAAGCCCCCUGCUAAUCACUUCCAAGGGGGGCACAGUCUUUGAGGCAUGAGCCUGCUGUGGCCCCCUUUGCCUGGCAAAGCAAUAAAGCUAUCUUUUUUCUCCUUCCCCCAAAACUCUGCCUCUGCAUUUCUACUCACCAACCGCAGACAGAGGCUGAGUUUUGGCAACACAGGGAGGGUGGGGGUCCCCAGGGGCCAGUCGUUCCCUAGCUCAGGAAGCAGAACAGACCUAUGGGGGUGACUGGGGACCGUUCAUCCUGAGCAGGGGGGUGCAGAGCUGAUGGGGACAGAGUACCAGGCCAGAGGAGGUGAGGAAAUAGCCAACCCACUAGGGGAUUGUAGGUAGGGAAGAAAAGCAUGGAAGUGAGUUAAGGGUCACUUGAGAAAUCAGGCUGGUUUAGCAACAAAACCACGCAGGCUGGCUUAGCAACAAAACCACACAACAGAAGCAUGCGAUGUGACCCCAGACAAUAAAACAGUGGUGAAAUACACCCACAUCCUGCCCCGUGAGGUCAGCAAGUUAAUGAUUCCUUUUCUUUUAUUUUGCUUUUUAGGGCCACACCUGCGGCAUAUGCAAGUUCCCAGGCUAGGGGUUAAAUCAGAGCUGCAGCUGGUGGCCUACGCCACAGCCACAGCAAUGCCAGAUCCAAGCCGCGUCUACAGCCUACACCAGAGCUCAUGGCAACGCCGGGUCCUUAACUCAGUGAGCGAGGCCAGGGCGCAAACCCACAUCCUCCUGGCGACUAGUAGGAUUCCUUUCUGCUGUGCCACCCUGGGAACGCCAGCUAAUGGUCCUUAAGAUGUGCUUCUCUGCCUGCACUCAAAACAAAAAUAUCAGGAGAAGUGACAUUCUGGUGGAUCCUGAGUUGAUUCACCUUAUUUUCAUGUUACCGCCUUUUUGCUCAUCGCCACUGUGCGUGACAGCCCGAGUCUGACAACAGGCUCCUCCAUCUGGACGUGGAGGAGCUGCUGACGGAAGCUUGACGUCUACUGAGAAUGAGGGACAUGGCUCUUCGCCCCGUCCCACUUUUCCUGCGAUGAUAAUCCUGUAGCCACUAAGGUCUCUUGGGCCGCCCGCUUGUACCCUCACAAGCAUCCUAGCACCUCUUUCCUUACUGGUCACUCUGCCUCGAGCUGAAUGCUUUCUGUGCCCAGCCAGGAGAUGCUCUACCUUGCUAAGUAAGCCCUGAGAUGCAGUCUGUGGGUUUCAGAGUCACGCUGGACAGGAGUGUUGACUAAAAAAAAUGCACAACCUAAAAGUUGCGAGUUAAGUUUUCUUUGGGGCAAAAUGAGGACUGAAGCCCAGGAGGCAGCAUCUCAAGGAGCCCUGAGAAACCUCUCUGAGGAGAUGGGGGGCGGGGGAGCCAGGUGAGAGGAGUUUUUGCAACCAAAGGCAGGUAGUAGGAACAAAAGAUUUGCAGAAAACCAGCUCUCUCGAGUUAAGGAAUCUAGUGCUUUUCUAUGGGAAGAUGCAAAAGGUCAGUGAAAUCAUUCCUUUGCCAUGCACCUCAGCUAGGGGGCCAGUGUCUUGUGUUUUCACAACCUGAGUUUCCGCGCGGGGCUCCUGUUUGGCGUGGCUGCAGUCUGCUGGCUGCUAGAUGGCAGGUGUGCUUUGUUUCCGUCCUGAGAUCCCUCAGGGCUCACCCGCUCAGCCUUGGGAGUGGCUGCACUCUCCCAUGACUGUGACAUCCUUUGAUCUAUGUGAAGAAGGGGAAGGGGGAGGUGCCUGCAGCCAGGCAUACAUUCUACAGAAGGGCGCUGCUGGUCCCGUGAAGGUCACUACGAGUCACGAGGAGCAGAUGUCACCAUGAAGGAUGUUAGUGCUUUUCUAGAUACGAGGAGAUGCAAGACCUGGGCACGUAAAAUCUUCUCCUAAGAGAGGUAUCUAUCUGAAGCCCUGUUCUGCUGGUUUUCCCAGAGCACAGAGCACCCCACUCCUGGUCCCCACCCUGAGCUCCUUCCACGGGGUGUGGAGGGUCGGCCCCUGAAGCGGCUCAGGAUUCAGUCUGCGUUGAGGAGGUGGCAUGUGAUGGCAAGUGAGACUUUCCAGUUCACAGGGACACACAAAGUUCAGUGUCCCAGCAUCACUGCCUGAACUGGGGACCUGGGCAGGUGCAUGCAGGGCAUGUGUGAGGUUCCUCUUACUGAGGGAACAAGUCACCACGACAGAGCAGCCCCAAUUAGCACCAAAUGGUUAUCUUACUAGUUACCUUCCAGUGUCAGACCUCUGACCCAGGUGUCACUGGGCUAAAAGUGAGGUGUCACCAUGCCUCCCCAUUGCCUAGUGAGGGGGACAAACCACAGAGGUGAGUGUGGGCACACACGCAGAAUUGACUUACAAGAGACAUCGGUCACAUCGCAGGCAUCUGAGGAAUAUAAGCUGCUCCCACAUCUGGCUCCGUGCCUGACGUUAAAAUGUUCUCUCUGCGCCUCUGAUCACCAUUUGCUAAAUUAGUCUUUUAAUUGGGCAGUAAGACAAGGCACCCCAAAGCUUGCUCAACUCCAUAAAGGUUCUCUCCCCUUCACGCUGAUGAGUCAGACUCUGCUUUUGUUCAGGGCAGCCCAUGUGCAUUUCUCAAUUUCCAGUGGUUUCUGUGGACGACUGGUGGGGGCAGGAUUUCUGGGUUCAGGCUUCCAACACCCUGCAGCAAGACAGACUCAGGUGGGAGGAACAUGCUUCUGCUUCCAUUCCUUCCUCCUUUCUGCUGCCUGGGAUGUCUGCAUAUUGCCUGGAGCAGUGGCAGCCAUGCUGAGGCCACGAGGUGAAAGAUGGCAACACAGGGAGUUGGAAGGAGGCUGCCAGCCCUGGGUUGCUUCCCUCAGAUGAGGUGGGAUAUAACAUACUUCCUGCUUGUUUACAGGAUUUUUUUUAUUGCUGGUGUGUGUUACUAGUGGCUCAAAACACUCUCUAACCAAAGAAAUGAGGACACACGGGCAGUGGUCCUAUGUUAGCUGAAAAGAGAAGGUACGAAUGCUUUUGCCUGCCAUUUCAUAGGGCUAUUCGUGGAGCCAGUGAGAUCCCAAAUGAGCUUUCAGAUUGAUGGGCGGGAGUUCCCUGGUGUCUCUGCAGCAGCUUGGGUUGCUCCUGAGGCAAGGUUUUGCUCCCUGGCUUGGGAACGUCCAUAUGCUAUGGGUGAUGCCAGAAAAAAAAAAAAAAAAUGGAUAUUGGCAUGCCAGAGCUCUUCCUCUGUAAAUUUCCUGUAUGUCAAUUAAAAAUAAUAAAAGUAGGAGUUCCUUUCAUGGCUCAGUGGUUAACGAACCCAACUAGGAUCCAUGAGGAUGCGGGUUCAAUCCCUGGCCUUCCUCAGUAGGUUAAGGACCUGGCGUUGCUGUGAGCUGUGGGUGUAGGUUGCAGACACAGCUUGGAUCCCGAGUUGCUGUGGUUGUGGCUGUGGCCGGCAGCUGCAGCUCCCAUUCGACCCCUCGCCUGGGAACCUCAGUGUGCGGCUCUAAAACAAAAUAGUAAUAAUGCAAGUAAUAAUUCCUUGGGUGCAUGUGGGACCAUGGGAAUCUUGGACAAUCUGCUUUUUUUCAGUUUAUUUAUUUAUUUAUUUUUAUUUAUUUAUUUUUU